RNAcentral lists this ribosomal RNA (392 nucleotides) under uncultured Methanocalculus sp. RNAcentral describes it as "bacterial SSU rRNA". It matches the Rfam family "Archaeal small subunit ribosomal RNA", at positions 949 to 1338 of the family's 1478-position model. The record is from RNAcentral. Lineage: Archaea; Methanobacteriati; Methanobacteriota; Methanomicrobia; Methanomicrobiales; Methanocalculaceae.
GAUAGCCGGGCGUGAAGACUCUGCUUGACUAGCUGAGAGGAGGUGCAUGGCCGUCGUCAGUUCGUACUGUGAAGCAUCCUGUUAAGUCAGGCAACGAGCGAGACCCACGCCAACAGUUGCCAGCAUGAUCUCCGGAUUUGAUGGGGACACUGUUGGGACCGCCUCUGCUAAAGGGGAGGAAGGAAUGGGCAACGGUAGGUCAGCAUGCCCCGAAUUAUCCGGGCUACACGCGGGCUACAAUGGAUGGGACAAUGGGUUUCGACACCGAAAGGUGAAGGUAAUCUCCUAACCCCACCCGUAGUUCGGAUUGCGGGCUGCAACUCGCCCGCAUGAAGCUGGAACCCGUAGUAAUCGCGUCUCACGAUGGCGCGGUGAAUAUGUCCCUGCUCCUU